AUACGGAGGGUGCAAGCGUUAAUCGGAAUUACUGGGCGUAAAGCGCACGCAGGCGGUUUGUUAAGUCAGAUGUGAAAUCCCCGGGCUCAACCUGGGAACUGCAUCUGAUACUGGCAAGCUUGAGUCUCGUAGAGGGGGGUAGAAUUCCAGGUGUAGCGGUGAAAUGCGUAGAGAUCUGGAGGAAUAACGGUGGCGAAGGCGGCCCCCUGGACGAAGACUGACGCUCAGGUGCGAAAGCGUGGGGAGCAAACAGGAUUAGAUACCCUGGUAGUCCACGCCGUAAACGAUGUCGACUUGGAGGUUGUGCCCUUGAGGCGUGGCUUCCGGAGCUAACGCGUUAAGUCGACCGCCUGGGGAGUACGGCCGCAAGGUUAAAACUCAAAUGAAUUGACGGGG
RNAcentral lists this ribosomal RNA (396 nucleotides) under uncultured bacterium. Its description in RNAcentral is "partial 16S ribosomal RNA". It matches the Rfam family "Bacterial small subunit ribosomal RNA", at positions 523 to 918 of the family's 1533-position model. The record is from RNAcentral.